RNAcentral lists this ribosomal RNA (1125 nucleotides) under Triticum aestivum (bread wheat). Its description in RNAcentral is "partial small subunit ribosomal RNA". Lineage: Eukaryota; Viridiplantae; Streptophyta; Magnoliopsida; Poales; Poaceae. The record is from RNAcentral.
AUGGAGAGGGAUGCAACAUCGAUGGUCACACGUCGUGCUUGGGCUUGUAACAGCGGUUGGUGUUUUUGGCGGGAUGUGCACCGGGCCCCCAUGGUUGGAGGCAACGGUGGUCCGCCAUUGGAUCAAGCCCCUCUCUCCCCCUAUCAAGGUUGUGAAAAAAUGAGAGAGAGAGAGAGAGAGAGGGGAUGGGGACCAAUGAAGAAGACGAGGAAGGGAGAAGAUAAGGCUGCAACGGAGAGUGGUGAGCAGGUUCCACACAUUACGCGUCUUAUGCAGAUCAAGUUCAUGACUUACAACGUCUGGUGCCGCGAAGACGUUGUCGUCCACAAGAGGAUGAAGGCCAUCGGCGAACAUGUUCGGAAACAUUCGCCGGACGUAAUUUUCUUCCAGGAGGUCACGCCGUACAUCCACUCGAUCUUUGAGAGCUUCGCAUGGUGGAAAUCCUAUCACUGUUCACCGGUGCCCCCGGAAGAUCAAACGGGGAACCGCCACUUCUGCUUGAUGAUGAGCAAGCUUCGUCUGCAGGGCUACGCGCGCUGGAAGUUCGGCACUUCGCCUACGGGAAAGUGCUACCUGGAGGCAGACAUUACGCCUGGACCGGCUUCUUCAACGCAGCCAAUCCGCAUAGCCACCACCCAGCUCGAAUGCCCAGUACCGCCUGAAUCGAUGCACCUCCGGGAGCGCUACAUGCAGGCAAAGCAUGCGGUCUCAGCGCUGAGUAGCGCUGACAACGUUGUGUUCGGCGGCGACAUGAGCUGGGAUGAUGAUGCCGACUUGCCGUUCCCCCUCCACAAUGGCUGGUUCGACGCCUGGGCAAAACUGACAUGUGGAACUGACAGUUACAGCGGUUGGACUUGUGAUAGUUUCUGGGUGGAAAAGCUCGGGGAGUUCAAUGGCCACAUAGUACAUGAACCAUGGACGAAGAAGCGGUCAGACCGAUUUUUGUGCAAGCUGCAAGACUACACGCUGAAGACAAUCCAAUUGAUCGAUGGGGGUCAGGGUUUUGGAGGUUUUGGACCUGUUCAUGGUAUUCGUUAUACGAACUACAGGACAUGCAUCAUCUCAGACGUGGCGCUAAGGCAGAGUUGUCACCGCGGGUUGGUCCUGACAAUCGUCCCCAAAUAA